AGACCUCAAAUCAGUCAGGACUACCCGCUGAACUUAAGCAUAUCAAUAAGCGGAGGAAAAGAAACUAACAAGGAUUCCCCUAGUAACGGCGAGUGAAGUGGGAAAAGCUCAACUUUGAAAUCUGGCUGCUUUGCAGUCCGAGUUGUAGUCUCGAGAAGUGUUUUCCGCGUUAAACCGUGUAUGAGUCUGUUGGAAUACAGCGUCAUAGAGGGUGAGAACCCCGUUCAUGACACGGCUUUUAAUGCUUUGUGAUACAUUUUCGAUGAGUCGAGUUGUUUGGGGAAUGCAGCUCAAAUUGGGUGGUAAAUUCCAUCUAAAGCUAAAUAUUGGCGGGAGACCGAUAGCAAACAAGUACCGUGAGGGAAAGAUGAAAAGCACUUUGGAAAGAGAGUUAAAAGUACGUGAAAUUGUCGAAAGGGAAACGCUUGAAGUCAGACGUGCACGGGAUUCAUUCCCAUUGCAGGCCAACAUCGGUUUUGCGAGCCGGAUAAAGGUAGAAGGAAGGUGGCAGUCUCGGCUGUGUUAUAGCCUUCUACUGAAUACGGAUUGCGAGACCGAGGGACGCAGCGCGCCGCAAGGCAGAGGGUUCGCCCUUUUCGCGCUUAGGAUGUUGGUGAAAUGGCUUUAAACGACCCGUCUUGAAACACGGACCAAGGAGUCUAACAUGCUUGCGAGUAUUUGGGUGUCAAACCCACAUGCGCAAUGAAAGUGAAUGGAGGUGGGAUCCUUUACGGGAGCACCAUCGACCGGCCUGGAAGUUUACUGAAAGGUCUGAGUAAGAGCACGUAUGUUGGGACCCGAAAGAUGGUGAACUAUGCCUGAAUAGGGUGAAGCCAGAGGAAACUCUGGUGGAGGCUCGUAGCGGUUCUGACGUGCAAAUCGAUCGUCA
Molecule: ribosomal RNA, 889 nt
Filed under: fungal sp. 10B-T-2t-1
Lineage: Eukaryota; Fungi
Description: LSU rRNA
Rfam family: Eukaryotic large subunit ribosomal RNA
Source: RNAcentral